AGAGAGAGACAUGCGCGCAUAUCAAUAAGCGGAGGAAAAGAAACUAACAAGGAUUCCCCUAGUAACGGCGAGUGAAGCGGGAAGAGCUCAAAUUUGAAAUCUUAAAGGGUUUUCCCUUGACGAAUUGUAGUUUAAAGAAGUGUUUUCUGUUGAGGUUUUGGUAAAAGUUCUUUGGAAUAGGACAUCAUAGAGGGUGAGAAUCCCGUAUUUGACCAUUAUUUCCAGCUGUGUGAUACACUUUCAAAGAGUCGGAUUGUUUGGGAAUGCAGUCCAAAAUGGGUGGUAAAUUUCAUCUAAAGCUAAAUACUGGCGAGAGACCGAUAGCGAACAAGUACCGUGAGGGAAAGAUGAAAAGAACUUUGAAAAGAGAGUUAAACAGUACGUGAAAUUGUCAAAAGGGAAGCGUUUGACACCAGUGUUGUUUUCCUCGAAAAUCAAUUAAAAAAGGCAGGAUUUUGUGUUGUAUUGACUUUAUCAGCUUUCUGCACUCUUUUCUUGUCUUUUUUAAUGCACUUUUCGUUUAACAAGUCAACAUCAAUUUCUUUUGUUGUAAAAGGGUCAUUGGAAGGUGGACUUUCUUUUCGGAGAAAGUGUUUAUAGCCUUUGGCCUCUGCAAUCGGAGAGAUUGAGGUCUGCAGCGUAGAUCCUUCGGGGUUAGAUACAUUUGUGCUAAGUUAUAGCCUUUCAUAGACAACUUGUUGACUAUGAUCAGUCAUGUAGCUUACUCGCUUAUGCUAUUUUACCUACGCUUAGGAUGUUGAUGUGAUACUGCGAGCA
RNAcentral lists this ribosomal RNA (777 nucleotides) under uncultured Neocallimastigales. RNAcentral describes it as "partial large subunit ribosomal RNA". It matches the Rfam family "Eukaryotic large subunit ribosomal RNA", at positions 23 to 646 of the family's 3401-position model. The record is from RNAcentral. Lineage: Eukaryota; Fungi; Neocallimastigomycota; Neocallimastigomycetes; Neocallimastigales.